AGAUCCAGAUUUUUGGAGAUUUUACAUAUCCGCAAGUGGCUAUAGUAAAUUUGCAAAACUGAUAGGAUCUUCACAUCCUGAUAAGUGGCCAUAUUUAAGGAUGAAGAUAUAGUCCAAGCCUCACGAAAGUCGAGG
Molecule: non-coding RNA, 135 nt
Filed under: Candidatus Amesbacteria bacterium GW2011_GWA2_42_12
Lineage: Bacteria; Candidatus Amesiibacteriota
Source: RNAcentral